RNAcentral lists this ribosomal RNA (408 nucleotides) under uncultured bacterium. RNAcentral's name for it is "bacterial SSU rRNA". It matches the Rfam family "Bacterial small subunit ribosomal RNA", at positions 399 to 795 of the family's 1533-position model. The record is from RNAcentral.
GCGUGAUGUGAAGAAGGCUCUUCGGAUGGUAAAGCUCUUUCAGACUGGGAGGAAGCGGUCUAGAUCAAUACUCUGCAAUAAUGACGGUACCGUCAGAAUAUGCACCGGCUAACUAUGUGCCAGCAGCCGCGGUAAUACAGAGGGUGCGAGCGUUAAUCGGAAUUACUGGGCGUAAAGCGUGCGUAGGUGGUUUGGUAAGACGGAUGUGAAAUCCCCGGGCUCAACCUGGGAACUGCAUCCGUGACUGCCAAGCUAGAGUACGGUAGAGGGGGGUGGAAUUUCAUGUGUAGCGGUGAAAUGCGUAGAUAUAGGGAGGAACACCAAUGGCGAAGGCAACCACCCUGGACCGAUACUGACACUGAGGCACGAAAGCGUGGGGAGCAAACAGGAUUAGAUACCCUGGUAGUC